CCCGUGUAAUACACGGGGUUCUAAUCUAGUUAAUCAAUAUAUGUAUAUUUUUGUUUAUCUUCUCGUAUUUUUAUAUGUUAUUGAUAAAAUCAACUUAAAAUGUUAAUACUUCAACCUCCUCCCACAUAUUUUUUUAAUACAUAUAAAAUUAAAAUUAAUCUUUAUAAAAUAAAAUAAUUCGAGCCGGCUCGCGAGCUCACGAGCCAAGCCAGGCCUAGCUCGAGCUUGGCUCGUUUACAAAUCGAGCCGAGCUUUUUUCCGAGCGAGCUAUGAGCAAACCACGAGCUUUUUGAAUACCCUACAACCAACCAGAAGGUUCGGUGAUAUCUCUCAAGCUUAAACUUUUUAUAUAUUUUUCUGCUAACUAUAAGUUUUUCAUAAGAACUCUUUAAAAAAAAAACAAAUAGUUUUUAAAAUAGUCGAUAACUUAUUCAACCCCUACCAUAAGAUUCUUACGAUCUGUAUCAAAGCAAGCUGGAUAAAAUAUUUUUAUAGAAAAAUGUUAAUGCAGAAAUCUUGAGUUAGUACCCCAAAUGACCACUCUACCAUGUUUAUAGAAUAUAACUUUUCGCAAUUAAAAAAUAUAUAUGAAUGCAUGUUUUUAAGCGUACGUAUAGAUUGUGGCAUGGAUGCAUAAUGCAUGAAUAUGGUUUUAUGAAAGUGACUUAAAACAAAAAUCAUUAAAUAACAAAGCUUUUGAAAACAUCCAAAAACCUUUAAGAGAAAUUAAGCAAAUAUGAGCAGGGGCGGAUCUAGUGUAUAACAGGGGGUAAUGCCCGUUACCUCUUGGCACUCCGGUGGUAGUGUAAAAUUAGUGUAAAUUUUGGAAAAAUUUGACGUUUUUUUUUCUAUUUCGUUACCGCUUAUUUAUAAAAUGUUACCGCUUGGCGCGAAUCCUAGAUCCGCCACUGAAUAUGAGUAUUUGCCCCUGCACUUGUACCGGGUGAUUUGAUGAAUAUUGAAGGAGUUGGACCAAAGAAAAAUGAAGAAUAAGAGGAUGCAUACUUUUAAGGACAUCAAAGAGUAUGAGAUUAGCAACCUUGGAGUAAAGCUUAAACCUUGAUUGAUAUGGUUUCGCAUAUGUACGCCGCUUUGUAGAUUCCUAAGAAUAUUCUCCGACGGAUGAUAAGAUAGAGACCGAGUUUGAAUUGCAGGUACAAGCUUAUCAUAAAAAAAUGUCACGUGGAAAAGAGAAACUAACGAACUCCAUAGCUUCUACAACACAAAAUACACUUGUAGAGAAAAUCUAUUUCAAAGACUGAUUAGGAAAACAUGCUUGAAAGCUUCAUAAUCGAAUCCCAUUAGCACUAAAGCUUCUUUCCAGAGGUGUUCAGGUGCAUUAGACUUGUCAACUUUGUUCUGUCGGUAAAGAAUCAUUGGACCAUGUCUUAUAAUGGUUCAAUGUUCAGUAUGUUAAUUGAUACAAAACUGAUAAUUACAAGGCCUAAUAUAGACAAUAUUACAUAGGGAAAGAGCUAUAGUUAAGGAUCAACAUCAUUACACUUAUAUACAUUCUAAUAUACAUAUGGCUGAGAUUAGGUAGUGAUGAUGAAAUAUUAUUUAUGAUUUGGUAAUACUCCUUAUACGCCCCCGCAAGAUAGAGGAUCCGUCGGAUACUCCAAUCUUGGAUCGAUUUCGAAGAAAAGGUGCUCGUGCCAAUGGUUUGGUAAGCAUGUCCGCAAGUUGAUCUUGUGACUUGUGAGCUGAUAUGAA
Helianthus annuus (common sunflower) is the source of this 1713-nucleotide long non-coding RNA. RefSeq lists it as uncharacterized. The record is from RefSeq and is a predicted model, not a curated record. Lineage: Eukaryota; Viridiplantae; Streptophyta; Magnoliopsida; Asterales; Asteraceae. The transcript is spliced from 4 exons.